This 346-nucleotide long non-coding RNA is filed under the name Phoenix dactylifera (date palm). Its description in RNAcentral is "long non-coding RNA (PDAC_LNC022637)". Lineage: Eukaryota; Viridiplantae; Streptophyta; Magnoliopsida; Arecales; Arecaceae. The record is from RNAcentral.
UUGAUAGAAUUUGGUAAAGAAAAUGUGACUCAGCGUAGACAAGACCGUGUUCAGCUUGAUGUAUUAUUAUUAUUUUGCAAGUGCCGACGUGGAUAAUGAAAGAUGGCCUUUUCGUGAAAUACGAUCGUUACUCUUCAGUGGUUCAAAUCAUAUUUUGUGCACAAUUGUACAAAUGUUCUGGAUGAGCUUAGCUUAUAUGGUUAUUGACUUAUUGAUAACAUUCUAUGUAGCAGGGAUGGUAUCCCCAGAAUGUCAUGAUUUAUGUAUUUUCAUUAUGGAGUUAACAGGUGUAACAAAACUAUCUCUUUAUUGCAAUUCAAUAUUAUUUAUGAUGUCUUAAUUUAGU